GUGGGGAAUAUUGCGCAAUGGGGGAAACCCUGACGCAGCAACGCCGCGUGAGUGAUGAAGGCUUUCGAGUCGUAAAACUCUGUCUUUGGGGACGAAUAAUGACGGUACCCAAGGAGGAAGCCCCGGCUAACUACGUGCCAGCAGCCGCGGUAAUACGUAGGGGGCGAGCGUUGUUCGGAAUCACUGGGCGUAAAGGGCGCGUCGGCGGUUUGUUAAGUCAGGUGUGAAAGUUUUCAGCUUAACUGGAAGAGUGCACUUGAAACUAACUUACUUGAGUACUGGAGAGGGAAGCGGAAUUCCUAGUGUAGCGGUGAGGUGCGUAGAUAUUAGGAAGAUCAGCGGGGGGGAAGGCGGCUUACUGGACAGAGACUGACGCUGAGGCGCGAAAGCGUGGGGAGCGAACAGGAUUAGAUACCCUAGUAGUCC
Molecule: ribosomal RNA, 426 nt
Filed under: uncultured bacterium
Lineage: Bacteria
Description: partial 16S ribosomal RNA
Rfam family: Bacterial small subunit ribosomal RNA
Source: RNAcentral